AAACAGCGAGCGCAGACCUGCUGGUAACGGUUGUUGCCACCAAUCUCCACCUGCUCGCCAGCGUGAACCCGUCGGCCAUUGUCAUCCAUGCGAAUGUUCAUGGUGGCCUUGCGACCGCAGGCGCAGAUCGUCUUGAUUUCCUCUAUAUCGUCGGCCAGGGUCAGCAACUGGGCUGACCCUGGAAAGGCGUUCCCCUGGAAGUCAGACCGCAAGCCAAAACAAAUGACUGGAAGGCCGCAAACGUUGGAGA
RNAcentral lists this ribosomal RNA (250 nucleotides) under uncultured archaeon. RNAcentral's name for it is "partial 16S ribosomal RNA". The record is from RNAcentral.